RNAcentral lists this unclassified non-coding RNA (391 nucleotides) under soil metagenome. RNAcentral describes it as "partial contains 5.8S ribosomal RNA, internal transcribed spacer 2, and large subunit ribosomal RNA". The stretch from base 1 to 122 matches the Rfam family "5.8S ribosomal RNA", at positions 35 to 154 of the family's 154-position model. The record is from RNAcentral.
GAUGAAGAACGUAGUGAAAUGCGAUACUUGGUGUGAAUUGCAGAAUCCCGUGAACCAUCGAGUCUUUGAACGCAAGUUGCGCCCGAAGCCAUUAGGCCGAGGGCACACCUGCCUGGGCGUCACACGUCGUUGCCCCCCCAUCUACUCCUUCGGGAUUGCGGGGGGCGGAUGAUGGCCUCCCGUGCGCCUCGUCGCGCGGUUGGCAUAAAUGCCAAGUCCUCGGCGACGCACGCCACGACAAUCGGUGGUUGCGAAACCUCGGUUGCCCGUCGUGUGCGGUCGUCGCGCAUCGAGGGCUCGAAAAAAUUGCCGGGCUCCGGCUCGGCUUUCAACGCGACCCCAGGUCAGGCGGGGUUACCCGCUGAAUUUAAGCAUAUCAAUAAGCGGAGGA